CCUGGUGCUAUUAGCGCAGGGGGUACACCCGGUCCCAUCCCGAACCCGGAAGUUAAGCCCUGCAGCGCCGAUGAUACUUGGGUGGGAAACCCCCUGGGAAAGUAGGACAGUGCCAUGA
Molecule: ribosomal RNA, 118 nt
Filed under: bacterium
Lineage: Bacteria
Source: RNAcentral